Molecule: ribosomal RNA, 442 nt
Filed under: uncultured bacterium
Lineage: Bacteria
Description: partial 16S ribosomal RNA
Rfam family: Bacterial small subunit ribosomal RNA
Source: RNAcentral
CCUACGGGAGGCUGCAGUGGGGAAUAUUGGGCAAUGGACGCAAGUCUGACCCAGCAACGCCGCGUGAAGGAAGAAGGCUUUCGGGUUGUAAACCUCUUUUAAGGGGGAAGAGCAGAAGACGGUACCCCUUGAAUAAGCCACGGCUAACUACGUGCCAGCAGCCGCGGUAAUACGUAGGUGGCAAGCGUUGUCCGGAUUUACUGGGUGUAAAGGGCGUGCAGCUGGAUAGACAAGUCAGAUGUGAAAUCAACGGGCGCAACCCGUAAACUGCAUUUGAAACUGUUUCCCUUGAGUGUCGGAGAGGUAAGCGGAAUUCCUGGUGUAGCGGUGAAAUGCGUAGAUAUUAGGAAGAACACCGAUGGCGAAGGCGGAUUACUGGACGAUAACUGACAGUGAGGCGCGAAAGCGUGGGGAGCAAACAGGAUUAGAUACCCUAGUAGUC